UUCCUGCAUUUGUGUUUUCUUUAGAGUCUAUAUUUCAGUUUUCUUGUGUUGAACUGUUUGAAUCAUUUCCACCAUAUUUUUAUUUCGUUAAGAGAUUUGCUGCUUUCUUGUAUUUUUGGUUUGAAUUGUUUUCAUGAAGCUAUUUUUCAGGUCAUUCUCUUCUGCUUCAUUUUCAUUGGGGUGCUCAGGCCUUGCUGAUGAUCCAUCCUCCUUAUAGUGAUAAUAGUCAAACAAAUCUAAUGACUUUUUAUCUCUUACAAACUUCUACUGUCUUUUAUGCUAUUAGUGUAUCUGUGGUAGAAGUUACUUGAAUACUGCAUUAUAUUGCAGUUGUUAAGAUAAUGUGAGAUCAUGUAGAGACAUUCUGUAACAUUUCUGCUUUCCUCUCUCAUUAGAAAUCUCAUUGUCUGGACAAGCAAUGCAACCAUAGCAGAAAACAGCCUUGCCCUCCAGGGACACAAGGGUUCUCCAAGUUCCUCAGAGAAAGGAAGAAUGAAGUGCUCAAGGGGAUCAUAGGGGAGUGCAACCUGAGGAACUUUUCCCCAGAGUGUAUGAUGAUCAAUUUGUGCCUAAGGAAUCUGACAUAUUCACCCACAAAGGAAACAAGGUGAAAUGUUUCCUGGUUUGUCAACUUUGCAGAAAGAUUUUGUUGAUAUAUACAAGCUGUAGAGUAAAAAUGAAGAGAAAAUGGGAAGUUUAAAGGUGGAAUUAGAAGAAAACAUCAAGAAUGAGAGAAUUAGGAAGAAAACAUAAAGAGAGUUAUAAGCAAAACAGCAAGAGAGACAGGAAGCACAUUUCUGAUAGAGAUAAUUAAAGCAAUAAGCAACUGCACCAGAAGACGAAGAAACAAAAAUCAUAAGGUAAAUAUUAAGACAUAGUAUGAAAGUACCUUUUCCCUUAUGCGUGUGGAUAAAAAAGUCUCAUGCUUUUAAUUCCUUCAUUCUGGAGGCAGAAGCAGGCAGAUCUCUGUGAUUUCAAAGCCAGCCUGGUCUAGAGAGUGAGCUCCAGGAC
This is a long non-coding RNA of Mesocricetus auratus (golden hamster), 1011 nucleotides long. RefSeq lists it as uncharacterized. The record is from RefSeq and is a predicted model, not a curated record. The transcript is spliced from 3 exons. Lineage: Eukaryota; Metazoa; Chordata; Mammalia; Rodentia; Cricetidae.